Molecule: unclassified non-coding RNA, 300 nt
Filed under: uncultured fungus
Lineage: Eukaryota; Fungi
Also listed under: 1 other name
Description: partial contains 5.8S ribosomal RNA, internal transcribed spacer 2, and large subunit ribosomal RNA
Rfam family: 5.8S ribosomal RNA (bases 1-52)
Source: RNAcentral
AACGCAUCUUGCGCUCCUUGGUAUUCCGAGGAGCAUGCCUGUUUGAGUGUCGUGAAAUCUCUCAACCUCAGUCUUUUAAUCGGGACGAAGGGUUGGAUUUGGACGCUGCAGUCUUUUUCGAAGGUCUGCUCGUCUUGAAAUGCAUUAGCGUUCCGCCGCGGGUUCGGUUUCGUAACGACGGUGUGAUAAGUAACACUUUGACGCCGUCUUGGACCGAGUCUCGGAGGAUGCUUCUAAUCGUCUUCGUGACAACUUCAUGUCUCUGACCUCAAAUCAGGUAGGACUACCCGCUGAACUUAA